UACGUAGGGGGCAAGCGUUGUCCGGAUUUAUUGGGCGUAAAGAGCGUGUAGGCGGUCAGGUAGGUCCGUUGUGAAAACUCGAGGCUCAACCUCGAGACGCCGAUGGAAACCAUCUGACUAGAGUCCGGAAGAGGAGAGUGGAAUUCCGUAGGUGUGAGCGGUGAAAUGCGCAGAUAUCAGGGAAGAACACCCGUGGCUAAGGCGGCUCUCUAGUACGGUACUGACGCUGAGACGCGAAAGCGUGGGGAGCGAACGG
Molecule: ribosomal RNA, 256 nt
Filed under: uncultured bacterium
Lineage: Bacteria
Description: partial 16S ribosomal RNA
Rfam family: Bacterial small subunit ribosomal RNA
Source: RNAcentral